Non-coding RNA from Punica granatum (pomegranate), 81 nucleotides. Lineage: Eukaryota; Viridiplantae; Streptophyta; Magnoliopsida; Myrtales; Lythraceae. The record is from Rfam.
UACUGUGAUCAAAGAAGACGAAAAACCUACCAGACUGACCAGAGAAAGAUGACCCGAAAGACCGCCCAGCACUAUCAGGAA